Oncorhynchus keta (chum salmon) is the source of this 101-nucleotide long non-coding RNA. RefSeq lists it as uncharacterized. The record is from RefSeq and is a predicted model, not a curated record. The transcript is spliced from 3 exons. Lineage: Eukaryota; Metazoa; Chordata; Actinopteri; Salmoniformes; Salmonidae.
CGACAGGGGGGGUGUCGACAGGGGUGGUGUCGACAGGGGAGGUGUCGACAGGGGUGGUGUCGACAGGGGAGGUGUCGACAGGGGUGGUGUCGACAGGGGAG